UAGGGAAUCUUCCACAAUGGACGCAAGUCUGAUGGAGCAACGCCGCGUGAGUGAAGAAGGUUUUCGGAUCGUAAAGCUCUGUUGUAAGAGAAGAACGUGUGUGAGAGUGGAAAGUUCACACAGUGACGGUAACUUACCAGAAAGGGACGGCUAACUACGUGCCAG
RNAcentral lists this ribosomal RNA (165 nucleotides) under uncultured bacterium. Its description in RNAcentral is "partial 16S rRNA". It matches the Rfam family "Bacterial small subunit ribosomal RNA", at positions 355 to 511 of the family's 1533-position model. The record is from RNAcentral.